CAUCCUGAAGUUAAAGCACUUAGCCUACAAGUCUCACAAUGAGCAAGUGCGCUAUAAAUGGUGGCUAAUUUAUGAUUUUGUGCUAACAGCUACUUGAGGCUUUGUUUGGGUGGUAAAGUUUGGUCUGCGAGAUGAAGAUGAGGACCAGAGGGGUCAGCGACCUUCAAAUGUCUAUGCGAACGUUUAUAUUAUGGGUCCCCAGUUUUCAUGACGUUGUCAAAAGUAAUGAAUGCUUUUCUUGUACUUUAAAGAAGAGUCCCAUAUCACUGUUAUCUUUGUCAAGAAACUAGGUAAACCGCUCUGAAUGAUAUCCUUUUCUCAGGUCCCUCUCAAACUGCUCUCCCGUGUGCGCCCUCGGUCUCUGUUCUUCCCACUAUAAAGGCUGGUGUAGAGAGACAAACAUAGUUUUUGAUAAGCGAAUGAAUACAUUUCCUUAGCAUCUCAUCUCUUUGUUUCUAGAGAGACUUUGCUGGGCAGAGUACCAUCUCCAUCUCUAGGAGCUGGGAGCUCUUUUUUGUACAUUGUGCGCUAAUGUUAUCCCUAUGUAAGCCCCUCCAUUCCAGUAGAAAACUGGUCUUGUAAUUUUCCCAAAUUAAGCUUAACCCUAUUAUGUGAGUUUUCUUCUCUUUUAAUCUGUGUUUACGUUUCAUUGAACAGUCUUGUUGGAAAUACAGAAAUCUUAGUAAAAAAAGCUCAA
This 697-nucleotide long non-coding RNA is filed under the name Rattus norvegicus (Norway rat). RNAcentral describes it as "long non-coding RNA NONRATT015769". The record is from RNAcentral. Lineage: Eukaryota; Metazoa; Chordata; Mammalia; Rodentia; Muridae.